Molecule: long non-coding RNA, 979 nt
Organism: Herpailurus yagouaroundi (jaguarundi)
Lineage: Eukaryota; Metazoa; Chordata; Mammalia; Carnivora; Felidae
Exons: 3
Source: RefSeq, a predicted model, not a curated record
AAAAGAAAAAAAAGUGAAAUUUCCUUACAACUUACAUUGACAAGUCCUUGAGACAGGCAGAGUGACCUUCCUCUAGGACCUCAACUGCCUUGCUAUUAAUACUUUGCUAAGGGCAAAAGGCAAAUUUAGCUUAAACAUAAUCGCAACCUCCAGGAUCCUAUAAGUCUUCUUUAACAUGUAAAAAUUCCUUUGGAAAGUUCCUUUAUCUCUACCCCCCAAGAUAUAUGUUAGCAAUCAUCCUCCAAGAGUAUGGCCCCCUGAUAUACAUCUGAAGGGUCUCAUGACUAUGGUUUUAUUAGACAGUAAUAAAUGACCUUUUCCUAACAAUAACUAGCCCCCUCAAGCUCCUGGAAACUUUGCUCCCAAAUGUCCUUAGAGACUUACGCUAUCCCUAACCCCCUCCCAACUUCCAAGUAUAUAAUCAGCCACUCCUCACAUCCCCAGUACAGCUAGCUCUCUUUGCCCGUGGGCCAACCACUUUUUGCACCAAAGACAUCUCAAGAAUUCUUUCUUGACCAUUUGCUCUGAACCCCACCAUUUCCACAUCAAAAGGGCGGGCGACUCCAUCAUCACUCUGAAUCGAUCGCUGUGUAACAAUAUAAAUUGGUUGUUUUCAUUUUUUAGUGAGCUCUACGCCCAACGUGGGGCUCAAACUCAGGACUGCGAGAUCAAGAGUCGCAGGCUCUACCAACUGAACCUGCCAGUUGUCUUCAUUUUAACGAAGCCCUGUAGACACUCUCAUGGCCAAUGCAACCACUCAGACUGCGGCCCCACCCCCAGGAACAUCAAAGCAUCCAAAGGAUUGAGAAGAUUAUGCCCUAAAGCCUCCUGGAAUGACUGAAAUGUGCCUCAUUACCAGCCCAAGGAAGAUGAAUGACACAGGUCAGAGUUAACUGAGUGCUUCUUGACAAAGACACAAUGCAGCACGCAACAAGGCUCAUUUAACACCCCAUCGGGAAGCCUUACAAGUUACAGCUUA